GACGAACGCUGGCGGCGUGCUUAACACAUGCAAGUCGAACGGAAAGACCCUGCUUUUGUGGGGUGCUCGAGUGGCGAACGGGUGAGUAACACGUGAGUAACCUGCCCUUGACUUUGGGAUAACUUCAGGAAACUGGGGCUAAUACCGGAUAGGAGCUCCUGCUGCAUGGUGGGGGUUGGAAAGUUUCGGCGGUUGGGGAUGGACUCGCGGCUUAUCAGCUUGUUGGUGGGGUAGUGGCUUACCAAGGCUUUGACGGGUAGCCGGCCUGAGAGGGUGACCGGCCACAUUGGGACUGAGAUACGGCCCAGACUCCUACGGGAGACAGCAGUGGGGAAUAUUGCACAAUGGGCGGAAGCCUGAUGCAGCAACGCCGCGUGCGGGAUGACGGCCUUCGGGUUGUAAACCGCUUUCGCCUGUGACGAAGCGUGAGUGACGGUAAUGGGUAAAGAAGCACCGACUAACUACGUG
RNAcentral lists this ribosomal RNA (468 nucleotides) under uncultured bacterium. Its description in RNAcentral is "partial 16S ribosomal RNA". It matches the Rfam family "Bacterial small subunit ribosomal RNA", at positions 28 to 507 of the family's 1533-position model. The record is from RNAcentral.